This is a long non-coding RNA of Helianthus annuus (common sunflower), 402 nucleotides long. RefSeq lists it as uncharacterized. The transcript is spliced from 3 exons. Lineage: Eukaryota; Viridiplantae; Streptophyta; Magnoliopsida; Asterales; Asteraceae. The record is from RefSeq and is a predicted model, not a curated record.
ACCUAGUGUGUGCGUGUGUGAGGUCGACCAGGAGAAAGCUCAGGGAGCUCAAACCCUAACUUCCACAACUUGAUCAAAUUGAAGCCCAAAUCAAGAGCCAAAUCACUGCAUGAACACAAAUUCGUGAUCACCUAAUCAUGGGGAUUACAAGUUUGACGCGUCACAAGCUAGGUGGAAGCUUGGAGUGAAAGCGGGUCAAACAAGGCAAGCAUGGAAGAAAGGCGUAGCUCGGAUGCAAGGUACUUGUGGAAGCCGGAAGACGAUCAAGCUCAACGAAGAACCGAACACGAUACAGUCACAUGCUUCCGCACUUCGCCACGUUGUAAAUUUUAAACAACGAACUUCGAACACGUUAUGUAGAAUAAUUUAUAAUUUGUAAAAGUUUUAAAUAAACCCGCAUUU